RNAcentral lists this ribosomal RNA (430 nucleotides) under uncultured cf. Clavicipitaceae. RNAcentral describes it as "eukaryotic LSU rRNA". It matches the Rfam family "Eukaryotic large subunit ribosomal RNA", at positions 197 to 647 of the family's 3401-position model. The record is from RNAcentral. Lineage: Eukaryota; Fungi; Ascomycota; Sordariomycetes; Hypocreales.
CCCNNNNCAUAGAGGGUGAGAGCCCCGUCUGGCUGGCCACCGAGCCUAUGUAAAGCUCCUUCGACGAGUCGAGUAGUUUGGGAAUGCUGCUCAAAAUGGGAGGUAUAUGUCUUCUAAAGCUAAAUAUUGGCCAGAGACCGAUAGCGCACAAGUAGAGUGAUCGAAAGAUGAAAAGCACCUUGAAAAGAGGGUUAAACAGUACGUGAAAUUGUUGAAAGGGAAGCGCUUGUGACCAGACUUGGGCGCGGCGGAUCAUCCGGGGUUCUCCCCGGUGCACUUCGCCGCGUUCAGGCCAGCAUCAGUUCGGCGCGGGGGAAAAAGGCUUCGGGAACGUGGCUCCUCCGGGAGUGUUAUAGCCCGUUGCAUAAUACCCUGCGCUGGACUGAGGACCGCGCAUCUGCAAGGAUGCUGGCGUAAUGGUCACCAGCGA